This 499-nucleotide ribosomal RNA is filed under the name uncultured Glomeromycotina. RNAcentral's name for it is "partial small subunit ribosomal RNA". It matches the Rfam family "Eukaryotic small subunit ribosomal RNA", at positions 591 to 1092 of the family's 1831-position model. Lineage: Eukaryota; Fungi; Glomeromycota. The record is from RNAcentral.
CCAAUAGCGUAUAUUAAAGUUGUUGCAGUUAAAAAGCUCGUAGUUGAAUUUCGAGACCGGUUUACUGGUCGUGCUUUUGUACGUACUGGUAUUAUUGGUUUCUCCUUUCUGACGAAUCAUAAUGCCAUUAAUUUGGUGUUUUGGGGAAUCAGGACUGUUACUUUGAAAAAAUUAGAGUGUUUAAAGCAGGCUCACGCUUGAAUACAUUAGCAUGGAAUAACGAAAUAGGACGUUUGAUUUUAUUUUGUUGGUUUCUAGGAUCGACGUAAUGAUUAAUAGGGAUAGUUGGGGGCAUUAGUAUUCAAUUGUCAGAGGUGAAAUUCUUGGAUUUAUUGAAGACUAACUACUGCGAAAGCAUUUGCCAAGGAUGUUUUCAUUAAUCAAGAACGAGAGUUAGGGGAUCGAAGACGAUCAGAUACCGUCGUAGUCUUAACCAUAAACUAUGCCGACUAGGGAUCGGAUGAUGUUAAUUUUUUAAUGACUCAUUCGGCGCCUUACG